CAAUAGCGUAUAUUAAAGUUGUUGCGGUUAAAAGCUCGUAGUUGGAUUUCUGUUGAGGUCGACCGGUGCACACCUCGUGUGUUAUUUGGUUCGGUCUCGGCAUCCUCCUGGGGAACGUGUCAGGACUUUAUUGGACUGCGCGAGAUUCAGGACUUUUACUUUGAGGAAAUUAGAGUGUUCACGGCAGGCAAGUGCUUUGAAUACAUUAGCAUGGAAUAAUAAUAUAGGACCUUCGUUCUAUUUUGUUGGUUUCUAGAACUUAGGUAAUGAUUAAUAGGGACAAUUGGGGGCGAUUCGUAUUAACGCGUCAGAGGUGGAAUUCUUGGAUUGCGUUACGACGAACUACUGCGAAAGCAUUUGCCAAAGAUGUUUUCUAUUGAUCAAGAACGAAAGUAUGGGGAUCGAAGACGAUUAGAUACCAU
Molecule: ribosomal RNA, 422 nt
Filed under: uncultured eukaryote
Lineage: Eukaryota
Description: SSU rRNA
Rfam family: Eukaryotic small subunit ribosomal RNA
Source: RNAcentral